RNAcentral lists this long non-coding RNA (4132 nucleotides) under Homo sapiens (human). RNAcentral's name for it is "HSALNT0083176". The record is from RNAcentral. Lineage: Eukaryota; Metazoa; Chordata; Mammalia; Primates; Hominidae.
GAAGCAGACGUUGCCACAGGUGUCACGUAAAUCAAGACAGUGCUAUGCCAAUGUCAUGCCAAGGCAGUUGAUAUUUGGGCCAGGCGCAGUGGUGCACACCUGUAGUCCUAGCACUUUGGGAGGCCGAGGUGGGUGGUGGAUUGCUUGAGCCCAGGAGUUUGAGAUUAGCCUAAGCAACAUGGCAAGACCCCAUUGCUACAAAAAAAUACAAAAAUUGGCUGGGCAUGGUGGCUCAGGCCUGUAAUCCCAGCAAUUUGGGGAGCUGAGGUGGACAGAUCAAUUGAGGUCAGGAGUUCAAGACCACCCUGGCCAAUAUGGUGAAACCGCCUCUACUAAAAAUACAAAAAUUAGCCAGGUGUGCCUGUAGUCCCAGCUACUCAGGAGGCUGAGGUGGGAGGAUCGCCUGUGCCCAGGGAGGUUGAGACUGCAGUGAGCUGAGAUUGCACCACUGCACUCCAGCCUGGACAACAGAGUUAGACCUUGUCUUGAAAAAAAAAAAAAAGACAGUUGUCAUUUUAGGUCAAACGGACAAAUUCUUUAAACAAAAUAUAAUAAAACAUCAAGGGGAAAUAGAAAAUCUGCAUGGUAUUAUUAUCACAGAAGUUACAAAAAUUAAAACAGUAGUGAAAAAAAUAUCCCACAAAGGAAACCGCAGACUUAGGCGGUUUCAUCAGUUGCAUCCACAAAUGCCUUAGGGGAUGAUUUUAGACAACAGACAGGAGGAAAUGGUCUCAGCCUCACCGUCCGUGGCCACGGCAGCUUCAGUGAGCCAGCCCUGCACAAUCAGCUCUGCAAGGUGUGAUUGGAGGGAACAGGAAACAGAAAACACAAAGAGAAGCCACCCAGAGGGUUGGUGAGGAUACAAAGGGUUUUCAACGCCGCUAGUCAGCAGGGAAAUGCACAUUUAAACCGCGAAAAGGCUCCACUACACACCCACCAGAGUGGCUAAAAUUAGACAGCAGCAUUGUGUGCUGGAGAAGGGGUGAUGCCAUGGGGCUCACAUGCCACAGUGCACAGCCAGAGUGGCACAGACCCCUUAGAACACGGGUGACAUGUACUGGAGCUCAGCACACAUGCACCACAACAGCCAUGUCCCCCCUGGGUCUGUGCCCAAAGGCAGGCACAGCCACGUGCAUGAUUUGAUCCGUAACGGCCCCGGUUCGUGCCAUGGAAUGCCACAUGGAAGAAAGUCACAAUGAGCACCGCUUGCGACAACACAGAUGGACGCCAGACAGAGCCCAGCCCGAGAACCUGGGUACCAGAGCUCCCAGCAUGACUGUUCAUGUGUGGGACUUGGACCCGGUGACCCAUGGGCUGGGUUCACCCGCCUGGUUUCCACUGAGAGGGCCCCGUGGGGCCGGGGUCUGUCUGUAGCCUGACUCGGGUGCUUGGUGCUGGAGUCUGGAAGCAUGCAGGGCUUGUUGAGCUGCACGGGGUGCAUCUGCCAUGACACUGUGUGGAAAUUGUAUAGCAACAAGUUUUUUAAAAGUGCCUGCCGGCCUGGUGCAGCAACUCAUGCCUGUAAUCCCAGCACGUUGGGAGGCCAAGGCGGGCAGAUCACGUGAGGUCAGGAGUUCAAUACCAGCCUGGCAACAUAGUGAAACCCCAUCUCUACUAAAAAUACAAAAAUGAGCCGGGCGUGGUGGCAGAUGUCUGUAACCCCAGCUACUCGAGAGGCUGAGGCAGGAGAAUCGCUUGAACCCGGGUGGCAGAGGUUGCAGUGCCAGCCUGGGUGACAGAACGAGACUCCGUCUCAAAAAAAAAAAAAAAAAAAAAGUGUCUGCCUCUCAGUGCACCAGCUGAGUCCAGCCAGCAGGACAGAAGCCACUGGGACAUCACACUGAAGGUUCAACAAGGGAAAUGGCAGGAUGAGGGGGAGGUGGGCAUGUCCCCCCAGACAUCCCGGUUCAGCCCCAGAACCGCGGAUGUGAUCCCACGUGCCAGAGUGGACUCGGUGGCCACCAUCACACUUGGAUCUUGGAUGGGAGAUGAUGCUGGGUAAUCGUCUGGGACUGAUGUAACCACAGAGGGUCGGGGUGAGAAUCAGGGAUAUGACCACGGAGGCAAAGGUUAGGGUGAGGCGAAGAAGGCCACAAGCCCGGGAAUGCAAGGAGCACAGCUCUCGAGGUGGAGAGCACGAGGAACGGAGCACCUGGAGCCCCUGGAGGGCAGGGCCUGCCCACACCCCAGUGGCCGCGCAGGGAGGUCUGGUCUGGACUCCUGGCCUCCAGAACCAUCAGAGAACAAAUAUGCUGCUUGAAGCAUGAAAGCUGUGGGGAUGGUGGCCGUGGCUGGGGGACACUCAGGCGGUGGCUUUUCUGGGACCAGUGUCUCUGCAGAGGCUGCUGCUCUGAAAGCAUGGUGGGCCACAGGGCGCCACACCCCCUUGGGUCCUGUGCCUGCUUCAGGAAAGGGGUAAGCAGUGUGGUAUACGCCAAGACCUCCUCCUGGUUUCCCUCCUCCGCAUGGAUCACUCCUCGAACACAGCCCCUGCUUCGUCAGGGUUCCGUAGCCUCACCUAUCGCAGGCUGCACCCCAUCCUUCCUCCAGACCCCUGGCCUGUGGGGCUUACCGGGGCCGAGGCCAACAGACUGAUCUCGUUGCCAAAGACCCAACAGCCACCAAACUGGCUUCAACAGGGCUAUGUGUGGCAGGUACUUCACAGGGGGACGUGUUCUCAUUUUCCUUGGCUUUCUAAUAAACUCUGGUCUAAAGAAAAUCUCUUCUAUAAAAUGAGUGGCCAGUGCCAAGGGGUAGAGACAGAAGCUCCUUCUGGACACUGGCUGCUCCAGUAGAGCCCAUCCUGCCCAGGUACGGAGCCCACCAGCUGCGAUCAGGACACUGCAGUUCCACCGUGGGGGACCCCGGGCCCUCACCUUGUCAGUCCUCUGUUUCAGCUUCGAGGGCUUUGACACAGUCUAAAAUCCACAGGUACUUAGCGCAUUUCUAAGUCCCACCUCAUGAUCAAUCAUAAGACAGGGCUUUGAUGGUAUGCAGAAAUAUCAAUGAAAUCCAAGAGGAAAACAGAACUAAACUCAUCGGGAUGAAUGACAGAUAAACCCUUUAAGCAUGUUUCAAGUCGCCCAGGUGGAGCCUCUGUUGGUCAGUGAAGCUUCAGGGUUCCCAUGAGAUGGAUCUGCAUGAGGCUCAGUCCUCUCUUGAAACACUGCCCAUUUGCAGGAGCGCCGGCCCACAGGGCAGAAGUCAGACUGUCAGAGCAAGUGCCGGUCCUGAAGCUGGAAGGACUUUCAAGGCUCAUUCCCCAAACUCAUUUUUUUUUAAACCUCUGCUCAUCUUAAAGAAAGGAGAGGCAGGCGCCCCAGAAACCUCUCAGGAGUAACUGACACACGUGACUUGCGGUGUCUUCAAAGGAACACUCUGCAACUUGCUACUGUUUAAACAGAGCAAGACUAACAGUCACCAGCAGCUGGUUCACGCAUUAAGGCCCUUUGCAGGUGAAAGAAAACGGCACUGGAGGGCCGACUGCAGAAGCAGACGCAGUGCACGGUGGACAUCUGCCCCUUUUGGGGGCCUGCCACGGUGCUUCCUGAAAACUCAGGUUAAGCUGACUCUGCUGUCAGGCUGAUGAGGCGCCUGCACCCACCUUUGCUCAGCACGCCAGCCCAAAUGGAAGAGCAGGUGCUAUGACAAAAAUCAGUUCUUGUAGCAACUAUUUUUGAUACUGAAACUGAAAAGCGAGAGCAGCAAAGCUAUCCACGGAGCUCCUGACAGUUAGGCCCGGCUUUGGCUGCUGAUGCAGGGGCCGAAUGACGCUAUUUCUGCAGCAGCCGGCCGCAGGCGCUGACCCACCGCGGGAUGUGCCCCAGGAGGCAGAAGAAACGCUGGGAACCGCACCUAACCUUGCCAGCAUCCCCCAGGCAAAGCCAGGCACUUUGAGUUCAUCGGUGGAGUUGGGCGAUACUCCUUUCCCGUUUGUGUGCUUAGCUGCUGCCAACAGGAUGUGCUGGGUGAAGCCUUACAGAACACAGCCAGUUGUGUUUUAUAAAGCAAGGCUCCCCUCCCCCAAAGACAAAUAAAACCACAGGUGUGGAAGGGACACCCUCCACCGCACCCCGCCCUAGUAAUCUGACACCGCAGGCAAAGGCACGGCCUGUGUGGGUAAGAUCCAUUG